This 760-nucleotide ribosomal RNA is filed under the name uncultured archaeon. Its description in RNAcentral is "bacterial SSU rRNA". It matches the Rfam family "Archaeal small subunit ribosomal RNA", at positions 81 to 843 of the family's 1478-position model. The record is from RNAcentral.
GCGAACGGCUCAGUAACACGUGGAUAACCUACCCUCAGAUCUGGGAUAACUCCGGGAAACUGGAGAUAAUACCGGAUAAUCCGUGAACGCUGGAAUGCCUCACGGUUGAAAGCUUUAGCGUCUGAGGAUGGGUCUGCGGCCGAUUAGGUAGUUGCUGGGGUAACGUCCCAACAAGCCGAUAAUCGGUACGGGUUGUGAGAGCAAGAGCCCGGAGAUGGAUUCUGAGACACGAAUCCAGGCCCUACGGGGCGCAGCAGGCGCGAAAACUUUACACUGCGCGAAAGCGCGAUAAGGGGACCUCGAGUGCGUGCGCAAUGCGUACGCUUUUCAGAUGCCUAAAAAGCAUGUGGAAUAAGGGCCGGGCAAGACCGGUGCCAGCCGCCGCGGUAACACCGGCGGCUCAAGUGGUGGCCGCUAUUAUUGGGCUUAAAGGGUCCGUAGCCGGACCAGUUAGUCCCUUGGGAAAUCUUACGGCUUAACCGUAAGGCUGCCAAUGGAUACUGCUGGUCUUGGGACCGGGAGAGGUAAGAGGUACUUCAGGGGUAGGAGUGAAAUCCUGUAAUCCUUGAGGGACCGCCAGUGGCGAAGGCGUCUUACUAGAACGGGUCCGACGGUGAGGGACGAAAGCUAGGGGCACGAACCGGAUUAGAUACCCGGGUAGUCCUAGCCGUAAACGAUGCGAGCUAGGUGUCACGUGGAUUGCGAAUCCAUGUGGUGCCGAAGGGAAACCGUGAAGCUCGCCGCCUGGGAAGUACGGCCG